Molecule: ribosomal RNA, 301 nt
Filed under: uncultured bacterium
Lineage: Bacteria
Description: partial 16S ribosomal RNA
Rfam family: Bacterial small subunit ribosomal RNA
Source: RNAcentral
CAGUAGCCGCGGUAAUACGUAGGUGGCAAGCGUUGUCCGGAACUAUUGGGCGUAAAGGGCUCGCAGGCGGUUUCUUAAGUCUGAUGUGAAAGCCCCCGGCUCAACCGGGGAGGGUCAUUGGAAACUGGGAAACUUGAGUGCAGAAGAGGAGAGUGGAAUUCCACGUGUAGCGGUGAAAUGCGUAGAGAUGUGGAGGAACACCAGUGGUGAAGGCGACUCUCUGGUCUGUAACUGACGCUGAGGAGCGAAAGCGUGGGGAGCGAACAGGAUUAGAUACCCCCGUAGUCCCUGUCUCUUAUAC